Rhinopithecus roxellana (golden snub-nosed monkey) is the source of this 1087-nucleotide long non-coding RNA. RefSeq lists it as uncharacterized. The transcript is spliced from 2 exons. NCBI's taxonomy places the organism in Eukaryota, Metazoa, Chordata, Mammalia, Primates, Cercopithecidae. The record is from RefSeq and is a predicted model, not a curated record.
UGAGCUGAGAUUGCACCACUGCACUCCAGCCUGGGGUGACAGAGCAAGACCCUGUCUCAAAAAAUAGAAAUAACAUAAAAUUGAGGUGGGACAGGGCCUUCCGUGGUUUGAGCCUCCUGCCAGUGCCAGGGCUAAGGGAGGAAGCUCUUCAGCCUGGGUGUGAGCAGAGGGGAAGCAGGACCACUGAGGCUGCAUCCCUGACAGCAGCCAGACAUCAAAGAUGGAGUUGGACAGGGACGGGAUGGGAAGGGUCAGGGAUGGAAGUGGCAGGAGGUGCUGGGCAGCUGGCCGCAUGCUUCCUGGCUGACUGCAAACUGUCCUGGCCAUGGCCUGAGACCCGCAGGGUCCCCAGGAUCUAACAGGGAGAGGGGGCUUCACCGCCCCAGGUGCAGUGUCUCUGGCCCCACAGUGCUUUGUGGCUGCUGCUUUCUGGACCCUCAGAUCCACCAGGAGGCUCGCUGGCCCCGCUGCAGGGGGCUCCAUGGACAGAGCUGGAAGGGGGCGGGACUGGCACAUUCAAGGAAGCUUUCAAGAGGGGUUAAAAAGAAGGGGUGUGCUCCAGUCUGUCAGCCUGACGUCCUUCACGGGACCACAGACCGGGAACUGAGGUUCCCUGCGAGGGGUGGACGCUGCCUUCUCUGAACGUCCCCACCUUGAAGGCAAGAGCGCCCAGAGGUGUUCACUUUUGGUGUUGGCCUUUGAGCUGGGGCCUGCAGCUGUUUCUCUGAAUUCCUUCUACUUUGUUUCCUUGUGCUCUUGCCUGGGAAGAAUUAAAUGAGAAUGCAAAGCCCAGAACCUGGCGGAGAUGGGAUGCCCCAGGCUGGAGUGGGCAGGGUUGCGCUGUCAACCCACUCUCAGCACAAACGCUGCCCGUUCUUCACCUCUCCGCGCUUGCUGCCAGAGCGUGUCAAAGACCCCGAAGAAUGAAAUGACUUCGGAAGAGGAGGCCACACACCCGUGAAACCAGCUGGAUCUGCAGCGGAACAUUCUUUACGUGUUUUGGGACAUUUCAAAGAAUGAUGGCGUGCUGCCUUUGUGAUGUGGGAUCUGAAGAUUCCAUCAAAGAAAGUGUGUCCUUUGUGUGAAA